RNAcentral lists this long non-coding RNA (277 nucleotides) under Manihot esculenta (cassava). RNAcentral's name for it is "long non-coding RNA (MESC_LNC010648)". The record is from RNAcentral. Lineage: Eukaryota; Viridiplantae; Streptophyta; Magnoliopsida; Malpighiales; Euphorbiaceae.
UCAUAAAUACUCAAUAAAGGGCUGGAUGGAGGGCUUUGCAGUAGUGGAGCUCAAGAAGGAGUUCGGGCUCAUCUGGGAUCUAGAACUCUCCUGGGAGGAUGUUUCACUGAACUGCAAUGACCUGCCCCAGCUCAGCCUUACCGAGCAGGUCGGGUAUCUUCGACUGACUUCUGUUGAAAGGAAGUAUGACGUCGAGAAAUGUAUGUUUGUGUCUAAUCUUCGUGAUAUUAGAGACGUGGGUACUUUACUAUACUUAGCUGUGUCUUUCUGCCUUUGU